GUGCUUUCUGCGGCACAGAUACUAAAAUUGGAACGAUACAGAGAAGAUCAGCAUGGCCCCUGCGUAAGGAUGACACGCAAAUUCCUGAAGCAUUUCAUAUAUAU
RNAcentral lists this small nuclear RNA (104 nucleotides) under Microcebus murinus (gray mouse lemur). The record is from RNAcentral. Lineage: Eukaryota; Metazoa; Chordata; Mammalia; Primates; Cheirogaleidae.